GGAGGGUAUAGCUCAGUGGUAGAGCAUGUGCUUAGCAUGCACAAGGUCCUGGGUCCAAUCCCCAGUACCUCCA
This 73-nucleotide transfer RNA is filed under the name Vicugna pacos (alpaca). Its description in RNAcentral is "tRNA-Ala (AGC) (tRNA-Ala-AGC-301-1)". It matches the Rfam family "tRNA". Rfam says of the family: Transfer RNA (tRNA) molecules are approximately 80 nucleotides in length. Their secondary structure includes four short double-helical elements and three loops (D, anti-codon, and T loops). Lineage: Eukaryota; Metazoa; Chordata; Mammalia; Artiodactyla; Camelidae. The record is from RNAcentral.